GCCGCUAUGGUGAAAUUGG
This 19-nucleotide non-coding RNA is filed under the name Arabidopsis thaliana (thale cress). Lineage: Eukaryota; Viridiplantae; Streptophyta; Magnoliopsida; Brassicales; Brassicaceae. The record is from RNAcentral. RNAcentral also lists the same sequence under 3 other names.